RNAcentral lists this unclassified non-coding RNA (280 nucleotides) under fungal sp. RNAcentral's name for it is "partial internal transcribed spacer region". The stretch from base 1 to 46 matches the Rfam family "Eukaryotic small subunit ribosomal RNA", at positions 1786 to 1831 of the family's 1831-position model. The record is from RNAcentral. Lineage: Eukaryota; Fungi.
AAGUCGUAACAAGGUUUCCGUAGGUGAACCUGCGGAAGGAUCAUUAUGAGAUUAAGAGAAUAUGUUAAAUUGUGAAGAGUGUGAGUGUGGAGUGAGAUUGCUGGGGGUGAAUGAAAGAUUGAUUACCUGGGGGUAAUUGAUAGAUUUUACCUCGGGGGGCGACACACAUACACACACACAAAAUAACAAGAACGAUUAUGGGAUGGAUGAAAAAAAAAAAGGUGAUUUUUAUAUUACCAUCACAAAAUAACAACUUUUAACAAUGGAUCUCUAGGCUCUU